Molecule: long non-coding RNA, 675 nt
Organism: Glycine soja
Lineage: Eukaryota; Viridiplantae; Streptophyta; Magnoliopsida; Fabales; Fabaceae
Exons: 3
Source: RefSeq, a predicted model, not a curated record
UAUUGUUUUCGCAAAUAACCCGAAAUAACCUCAUUCCCCCUCUCAAACGCGUGUAAUCCUAUUGUUCACCUCUGUCAACCUAUGUUCGCCGUCUCUCGUGCACGUCGCACCGCUGUAUGUUGUAUGUGGUAUACAGGUGACUACCUACUCUUUGCUGGUUGAGGACGUGCUGGAAGUAGUAUCCAAAGCAGUUGUUGUGCAUGUGAAGUUGCAGCUUUACGAAUUUAGAGGCUUUCUAAGGCAUGUUAGACUAAGAGGGACUGGUUUUGUGCACCAUUCAAAAAUUUGGGCCAUGCUCAUUAUCAACUGUUAUUGAGUGUGAGACAAUUGCUUCAACUACUGAAUUUAUUUUACUUGUAUACUGUUAUGAUUGACAAACUUGUUCUGGACAAUAAUAGGACCUCGUCAUAGGUUUUAAUUCACAUGGUUUGCAAAUUGAAUAUUUAAAAAAUUCAUGACUGGCCACCCUUUGAUUUGAAUGCAAGGGGAAAUGUACGAAACACUUUCCUUGUCUUGUGGCCACUUACGUGGGUGAAGGAACCUAAAAGCACCCACAAAAUGGUUAUUUUGAGAGAAAAAAAUAACGCUGUUGGACCUUAUGAUCCAAAUAAUGUGUACUAAGAUGAUAGUAUCAUUAUAACUACUUAAGUUUUGUGGCUAGCAAAUUAUACUUAA